This 482-nucleotide long non-coding RNA is filed under the name Malus domestica (apple). Its description in RNAcentral is "long non-coding RNA (MDOM_LNC002296)". Lineage: Eukaryota; Viridiplantae; Streptophyta; Magnoliopsida; Rosales; Rosaceae. The record is from RNAcentral.
CCGACCCGAUGUCCUAGGGACAAAGGGUUGGUCACGUGCUGGCCGACACCCGAAGGUGACGAAAGCCAUUUAUUAAGUGCAAAUGCUGAAAACAAGGGAUAUAUAAGACUUAUAAAUACAAAAGAAUAAAGAAUAUGCAUUUAAGGAACGUGUUCAGAGCAUACGACUAACUAGAAUACUAACAGAAAUAAUAUAAAAUUGAAUGAAUAAAAGAAUAAGUCCUACACCAAGAAGACUCGAAGAUGCCGAUGCGGAAGUGCUUGAAUGCCGGGAUUGUAUAUCUUGAUUCUAUGUCAGUACUUAGCCGCCAAAUGCUGCGCCACUAGCGAAGACGGAAACGUCACCAUUAAUUGCCCCCAAGCACAUAAAGGGUACAUUUAGUCAAACUCUACUCAAACGAUUUAAUUUGGGAAAACAGACUUCAGAAACGGGUCCAGGAUGUCGAAAUUAGCCUAGGAAGGUAUUGGACGAAAACCCGAAAG